Long non-coding RNA from Astatotilapia calliptera (eastern happy), 1387 nucleotides. Lineage: Eukaryota; Metazoa; Chordata; Actinopteri; Cichliformes; Cichlidae. The record is from Ensembl.
GUGAUUGUGUGUACAGCGUCUCUUUAUGUCUGUCUCCACGUUGGUUGAGUGUGGAGUAAGUGCAUAUGAGAGCAUGAGGGUGGGAAUGGAUGUUUGUGUCUGUGUGUGCCUGUAUGUCUGUGUCUAUAUGUCAGGUUGGGGACAUCUCAGGCCCUCCAAGGUUUGGAGGCCUAUCUCCCCCUACCACCACUUCCCCUGCCAGUGGCGGACUUCCUCAGGUAUCGGUGGGUUGGUGGUUCUUUGUGUGUGGGGGUGGGCGUCCGGGUACACACCGGCUCACUCCUUGACGGCCGCUUAUCGGGGCCUGGAGCCUGGGGCUCGCUCGGGCCACUUCGGAGGUGGGGUCACUCAGGCACAGCUGGAUGUCUGGAGUUUUGAUCUCCUCCAUACCUGCUUCAUACCCUGGAGGGCGGGGCUGUGGCCCCCCACACUCCCUAGCAGAUCGUUACAUGGAGAAACCUUUGGAAUACAAGCAUGCUGAUCCACACAGGUGUACACACGGGUAUUCACAGACGCGGACUACAGCUUUCUUGGCUGCUGCCUCAAAGCACAUUGUGCGCUGUCUAUCCUGCGUGCUGCACAAUAUCGUUUAUUAUUUAGUAUCUACUGAUAUCUACUGCUAGCUAGUUUAUUGUGAUGGUGCUGUUUUUUUUUACUAUGUUGCUCUUUGUUGUUUGCUUUCUCUUCUGGUUUUUUUCUCCAUACAGGUGAUUUGUUUUUUUGUUGUUUGGUUUUUGUUUGUUUUUUUUGUUUUGUUUUUUCUUCCCCCCCUUCUCACCGUCUCUUCUCCCCUUUGGUUUUCUUUCUCUCCCUCUCUUUCUUUCAUUCUUUCUCCCUGUCCUGUCCCGUUUGUAGCAACUGAAAAUAAAAUAAAUUCAUAAUUAUAAUUAUGAAUCCCGGCAUUUUGAUUCGGGACGUUCUCUGCAUGAAAACAAGCGCUCACUCUUCCUGCUCAACAAAUGACGAGGGCGGAGCCUUAUACCACGUGGUACAGAAGCUGUGCCGUGUGAUGCUAAAAUUAGCAGGAAAAAACCACGGAGAGCACGUCAGGGAUGAAGAGAAAGUGACAGGAGAAAAUCCGUCCCGGACAACCACCCAAACAUCAAUAACGGGAACCUUAUACAGCGCUUCUCUAUACCCGUCGAACUCCCGCAGGCACAAAGAAAUUACGGAGGCUAUCACUUAUCACCUGACCAAAGAUAUGGCUCCAUCAACACUGUGCAAAACAAGGGAUUUAGGAAAAUGAUCAACACCCUAGACAAACGCUACACAGUGCCGUCCCGCAACUAUUUUUCUACUGUUGCACUACCUGCUCUGUACACGCAGCGUCGAGCAACGGUGGAGACAGAAUUUCAAGCAGUACAACAUUUUGCAGCAACAACAAAAU